GUGGGGAAUAUUCCGCAAUGGACGAAAGUCUGACGGAGCAACGCCGCGUGAGUGAUGAAGGUUUUCGGACUGUAAAGCUCUGUUGUUUAGGACGAAAGUGCCUGUUGCAAAUAGUUACAGGUAUUGACGGUACUGAACGAGGAAGCCACGGCUAACUACGUGCCAGCAGCCGCGGUAAUACGUAGGUGGCAAGCGUUGUCCGGAAUUAUUGGGCGUAAAGAGCAUGUAGGCGGGAAUCUAAGUCUGUUGUGAAAAUGCGGGGCUCAACCCCGUAUUGCGAUGGAAACUGGGUUUCUUGAGUGCAGGAGAGGAAAGGGGAAUUCCCAGUGUAGCGGUGAAAUGCGUAGAUAUUGGGAGGAACACCAGUGGCGAAGGCGCCUUUCUGGACUGUGUCUGACGCUGAGAUGCUAAAGCCAGGGUAGCGAACGGGAUUAGAUACCCCAGUAGUCC
RNAcentral lists this ribosomal RNA (450 nucleotides) under uncultured bacterium. Its description in RNAcentral is "partial 16S ribosomal RNA". It matches the Rfam family "Bacterial small subunit ribosomal RNA", at positions 354 to 796 of the family's 1533-position model. The record is from RNAcentral.